Brienomyrus brachyistius is the source of this 188-nucleotide long non-coding RNA. RefSeq lists it as uncharacterized. The record is from RefSeq and is a predicted model, not a curated record. NCBI's taxonomy places the organism in Eukaryota, Metazoa, Chordata, Actinopteri, Osteoglossiformes, Mormyridae. The transcript has 3 exons.
CUAGAAGAUAAUAGGAGCUGAAGUGAAACAAGACACAACAAAACCAGAGUCAAGAAUUUCAGCUAAUUAAAUUUGCCGGUUGUGCCGUUGGACCUGUUGGACGCCCACCACACCGUCAUGAGGGGCCGUGGUGUGGCUUUCUUGAGUUUGCUGCCGUCUAGGUCUGCUCCACAAGCUCUGCAAUACAG